RNAcentral lists this signal recognition particle RNA (316 nucleotides) under Colobus angolensis palliatus. RNAcentral's name for it is "Metazoan signal recognition particle RNA (ENSCANG00000008452.1)". It matches the Rfam family "Metazoan signal recognition particle RNA". From Rfam's summary of the family: The signal recognition particle (SRP) is a universally conserved ribonucleoprotein. It is involved in the co-translational targeting of proteins to membranes. The eukaryotic SRP consists of a 300-nucleotide 7S RNA and six proteins: SRPs 72, 68, 54, 19, 14, and 9. The record is from RNAcentral. Lineage: Eukaryota; Metazoa; Chordata; Mammalia; Primates; Cercopithecidae.
GCUGGGUGUGGUGGUGGGCACCUGUAAUCCCAGCUACACGGGAGGCUGAGGCAGGAGAACCACUUGAACCUGGGAGGUGGAGGUUGCAGUGAGCUGAGAUCGUGCCACUGUACUCCAGACUGGGUGACAAAGUAAGACUCCGUCUCAAAAAAAAAAAAAAAAAGAUGUUCAUUUGUGUUUUAUUAUUUAUAAUAACAAAUAUAAAAUUUUUUUUUUAAGACGAAGUCUCCCUCUGUCCCCCAGGCUAGAGUACAGUGGUGCGAUGGCAGCUCACUGCAACCUCCACUUCCCAGGUUCAAGUGAUUCUCCUGCCUCA